GUCUACGGCCAUGCCAUCCUGAACAAGCCCGAUGUCUGAUCUCAGAAGCUAAGCAGGGUCGGGCCUGGUUAGUACUUGGAUGGAAGUCCACCUAGGAAGACCACCUAGGAAGACC
Molecule: ribosomal RNA, 115 nt
Filed under: Pteropus alecto (black flying fox)
Lineage: Eukaryota; Metazoa; Chordata; Mammalia; Chiroptera; Pteropodidae
Source: RNAcentral